Long non-coding RNA from Anthonomus grandis grandis, 1157 nucleotides. RefSeq lists it as uncharacterized. NCBI's taxonomy places the organism in Eukaryota, Metazoa, Arthropoda, Insecta, Coleoptera, Curculionidae. The transcript has 4 exons. The record is from RefSeq and is a predicted model, not a curated record.
AUAUCACCUUAGAACAUUGAAAGGCUAGAAUUAGUAAACAACAACUUUGUUUGAGUCCAACAUGUGCACAGGGGCAAGAGGGGUGUUUUAUUUACAAACAUAUGUGCCGAUUCUCUGUUGUCAAGUCGACACAAAUUUCCAACGGAGGAAAUUUUUAGCUAUAUUUUAACAAACAUUAUAACGUUAAUUUAACUUAUUUCUGUUAUAUCUUAUAGGAAAAUUUAAAAUAAAAAGUAUAAAUGCUACAAUUAACCUAUUUUAAGAAUAAAUAUAAUAUCCUUAAGCAAAAAAAAAACAAAAUUAUUAACAUUCUUAUCCCUAAAACUGCUUCUAAAAAAUUUGAAGCGACAACACCGGAGCUUAAGCGCCUAAACCAUACGCGUUGUGUCAUCUGUCAAACGGCUUUUUGUUUAUAUUCGGGAUUCGUGUAUUUUCUUUAAUUUUUGGUUUAAAAAGGAAAAAAGGCCACGUUUUAGUGUUUUUUUAAAUUGCUAGGAUGGCAAAAACUUGUGUCGUUUGUGCCGCAUCAUGAUAAAAACGUGAUUCAAGCCGAUCUUUUCACAAAUUGCCCAAUGAUUAUGCCCAAAGGGAACAAUGGGUUUCAUUAAUGGAAAUCAACACAUUUAAAAAGAACAUAUUUGUUUGUUCAGAUCACAUCCUUAGAAGUGAUAUAAGGGAGAUAAUAUUAUCAGUAGCCAGACUUUAUUAAAAAAAUCAGCUCUACCUCAAAGGAUUUCUGAUGCACUGGUUAAAAACACAGCAGCCAAUAAUUCAGUUAAUUUACCAAGUGAUUUACCCUUCAAAGCUACAGGGGUAGCUUUCCUGAAGAGUGCAAAAACUUCUUUAGCUUUCAAAAUGGUAUAUAGUACAAACAGUGAAGCUAAUAUAGACACAUCUGAUCAUUCAUCAUCAACAAUAACUGCAUCUGAGAAUUAUAGUUCUACAGUAACCGUGGAGUCUAGGUCAACAAUUACUAUUUCUCAUCCAAGCCGUUUUUGUUUAACUGCUACACAUUCCCUGACUCUGCCAAGGAAAAGGUAUAAAUACACUCAAAAUAGACUACUAGUUUUAUGCCAUGUAUCAUCCUAUUCUAUAUAUCUUAUUUAAAAGUGAUAUGGUAUUUUAUUGUAUUAUAUUUGUUUAAUUAAAUGCAAUUA